This 489-nucleotide ribosomal RNA is filed under the name Burkholderia sp. EPN117. RNAcentral's name for it is "bacterial SSU rRNA". It matches the Rfam family "Bacterial small subunit ribosomal RNA", at positions 14 to 497 of the family's 1533-position model. The record is from RNAcentral. Lineage: Bacteria; Pseudomonadati; Pseudomonadota; Betaproteobacteria; Burkholderiales; Burkholderiaceae.
UGAUCCUGGCUCAGAUUGAACGCUGGCGGCAUGCCUUACACAUGCAAGUCGAACGGCAGCACGGGAGCAAUCCUGGUGGCGAGUGGCGAACGGGUGAGUAAUACAUCGGAACGUGUCCUGUAGUGGGGGAUAGCCCGGCGAAAGCCGGAUUUAAACCGCAAUACGUUCUACGGAGGAAAGGGGGGGAUCUUAGGACCUCUCGCUACAGGGGCGGCCGAUGGCGGAUUAGCUAGUUGGUGGGGUAAAGGCCUACCAAGGCGACGAUCCGUAGCUGGUCUGAGAGGACGACCAGCCACACUGGGACUGAGACACGGCCCAGACUCCUACGGGAGGCAGCAGUGGGGAAUUUUGGACAAUGGGGGCAACCCUGAUCCAGCAAUGCCGCGUGUGUGAAGAAGGCCUUCGGGUUGUAAAGCACUUUUGUCCGGAAAGAAAUCUUAUGGGCUAAUACCCUGUAGGGAUGACGGUACCGGAAGAAUAAGCACCGGC